Molecule: ribosomal RNA, 432 nt
Filed under: uncultured bacterium
Lineage: Bacteria
Description: bacterial SSU rRNA
Rfam family: Bacterial small subunit ribosomal RNA
Source: RNAcentral
GAGCGAACUUCGGGUUAGCGGCGAACGGGUUGAGUAACANCGUGAGCAACCCUGCCCUNNUGGCUCUGGGAUAGCCUCCGGAAACGGGGAUUAAUACCGGAUAGGACCUCUGGUCUCAUGACUGGGGGUGGAAAGUUUUUCGGCCAGGGAGGGGCUCGCGGCCUAUCAGCUUGUUGGGGGGGUGACGGCCCACCAAGGCGACGACGGGUAGCCGGCCUGAGAGGGCGGCCGGCCACACUGGGACUGAGACACGGCCCAGACUCCUGCGGGAGGCAGCAGUGGGGAAUAUUGCGCAAUGGGGGGAACCCUGACGCAGCGACGCCGCGUGCGGGAUGAAGGCCUUCGGGUUGUAAACCGCUUUCAGCAGGGGCGAAUCAAGACGGUACCUGCAGAAGAAGCGCCGGCUAACUACGUGCCAGCAGCCGCGGUAAU